RNAcentral lists this ribosomal RNA (488 nucleotides) under uncultured bacterium. Its description in RNAcentral is "partial 16S ribosomal RNA". It matches the Rfam family "Bacterial small subunit ribosomal RNA", at positions 28 to 507 of the family's 1533-position model. The record is from RNAcentral.
GACGAACGCUGGCGGCGUGCUUAACACAUGCAAGUCGAACGAAAAUACCAAGCUUGCUUGGUUGAUUAGUGGCGAACGGGUGAGUAACACGUGAGUAACCUGCCCCUUACUUUCCUGGAUAACUGCUCGAAAGGGUAGCUAAUACGGGAUAUUCUGACCAGCCUGCAUGGGUUGGUUUGGAAAGGUUGUUUUUCUGGUAAGGGAUGGGCUCGCGGCCUAUCAGCUUGUUGGUGGGGUGAUGGCCUACCAAGGCUUUGACGGGUAGCCGGCCUGAGAGGGUGGACGGCCACACUGGGACUGAGAUACGGCCCAGACUCCUACGGGAGGCAGCAGUGGGGAAUAUUGCACAAUGGGCGCAAGCCUGAUGCAGCGACGCCGCGUGAGGGAUGAAGGCCUUCGGGUUGUAAACCUCUUUCGUCAGGGAACAAGGCACUGCUUUUUUGGUGGUGUUGAGGGUACCUGGAUAAGAAGCGCCGGCUAACUACGUG